GUCAAGAAUCUUCCUCAAUGGACGAAAGUCUGAAGGAGCGACGCCGCGUGUAUGAAGAAGCCUUUCGGGGUGUAAAGUACUUUUAACUGUGACAAAACAAUGAUGGUAGCAGUUGAAUAAGGGGCUGCUAACCUCGUGCCAGCAGCAGCGGUAAUACGAGGGCCCCAAGCAUUAUCCGGAUUUAUUGGGCGUAAAGCGUCCGUAGGUGGUUUAUCGCAUCUCCUGUUAAAUCUCGAGGCUCAACCUCGAGUCCGCGGGAGAGAUGGACAAACUAGAGAUUGGAAGAGGCAAACGGAAUUGCUGGUGUAGGGGUUAAAUCCAUUAAUAUCAGCAAGAACACCAAAUGCGAAGGCAGUUUGCUAGGACAAAUCUGACACUCAGUGGACGAAAGCGUGGGGAGCGAAUGGGAUUAGAAACCCUAGUAGUCC
Molecule: ribosomal RNA, 428 nt
Filed under: uncultured bacterium
Lineage: Bacteria
Description: bacterial SSU rRNA
Rfam family: Bacterial small subunit ribosomal RNA
Source: RNAcentral